This 1191-nucleotide long non-coding RNA is filed under the name Olea europaea subsp. europaea. Lineage: Eukaryota; Viridiplantae; Streptophyta; Magnoliopsida; Lamiales; Oleaceae. The record is from RNAcentral.
UCGGGUUUGGGUUUGGGUUUGGUUCCAUUUUUUACAAAGACUCAAAUGGUUCUAUUUGCAAAAUAUUCGAAGUAUAAUGGGUGAUUCUGGGUAUUGAAAUACCCGGACCGACCCACCCGGUGCCCAAGCCUACCUAUAUCUUCCUUCAUGUUAACCAUUAAAACAUGGCAAUAGAGAGAUGAAACUGUAGACGAACUUGUAGAGAAAAGGAUAGGAAAGUUUUAGAUGAUGAUCAAACUGCGGAAGAAUCUCAUUUGGGGACCACUUCCUUCAUUCUCACCUCAUUUAUGAUGAUCAAACAAAAUGAGAUCAUCACUAUCAAUAUCACGGUUCCUAGAUCUUUCUAGCCUUUGAAUGCAAUUUAGCGUUGAUUGCCUCUUCAGACAUCUUCAUGGUCGGCUUCUUCCUCUUCCCAGAAGUGCAGACAGGGCAAGCCGGGUAGUAUAAGUUGAUCUGUGGUGUCAUUAUUCCAAGCACUCAGCAUGGUAAGCAAGUCCACAAGUCAAAGCAGCAACCACACCAAGUUCAUUGGUAGCUAUUAUUUUCAUGAUGCCCAACGAGGAUCUUUCGGUUAAAAGCUUUGCACAAACACCACAACUUCGGAGAUUAAAAGAAGGAGAUCCUAAAUUUCGUCCAACAUAUCUAGUUAUUUUGCCCCAACUGAAGCCAAAGUUUUCACUAUCCAAAAACCAUCUCUUUUUCCGAGUUGUCAUAAGCUCAGAGAAUGGAGGAAUUGACAAACCAUCAGAUGACCCACCCUUCGAUCCUCUUGUUGAUUCAUAGCCCCAAGUAGGGAGAACAAAAGAAGAUGCUUUUUUAGAAAUUAAGAAUAUACGCGACUUGUAUUUUGUAAUUGAGUUGUCAGAUACUUGUCGUAACGGUUGCUGUCUAGGAGAAUGGGGACUCCACCUAGAAGGGGUUGACUUUGGAGGAAACGGGUGACUGUGGGAUGAUAAAGGAGAUGUUAACACGGGCGAAACUGAAGGAGCCGAAGGAGCUAACUUAACAGGAUAUGGGGAUAAUACUGCUGCAGAAAGAUCAGUGAUGAGAUUUUGGUUUGGGGUUUCUGCGUAUGCAUCUGUUUAAGGGUUUGAGGUUUUGAGAAGUUUUAUAACGUAUUAAUUACGUUAUGAAAUGAUAUAAUUGAUUAAUAGGGUAUCAAUCAAUUUAGUUAUUUUUUUAGGGUAUUGG